This is a long non-coding RNA of Dendrobium catenatum, 246 nucleotides long. RefSeq lists it as uncharacterized. Lineage: Eukaryota; Viridiplantae; Streptophyta; Magnoliopsida; Asparagales; Orchidaceae. The record is from RefSeq and is a predicted model, not a curated record. The transcript has 4 exons.
GGAAUGUGUAUGAAAAUGAAAUCCUCAUCCUCGAAAAUUCUGACACUAAUUCUAAUGCCUUGCAGGAUUUUGACGACAACCAUGUCUACAAGGAAUCUAACGACAACUCUUCCGAUAAGGAUUACGAUGACAUCUUUGGCUAUAAUGAUUAGCCAAUUUCUGAAGUGCUGCUCUUAAGCUACAAGUAAAUCAGGAACCUGCAUGCUCGUUAUGGAGGUCAAAGGCAGUGGCAUGAAUUUUAUAUUG